AAGCACUCUACCAACUGAGUUAUAUCCCCAUCCCUGACAUUGCAUUUCUAGAAAAGUUCAAGAAUUUUGGCCAAGUCACAGUUGCUAAACUUGUUUUCUCAACUGUAAAUACUACCUUAUAGGCUGUUGUAAGAACUGAUGAGCUGGUAAAUGUAAAAACUUUGACUGGUUCCUGCCUCAGAGUGGACAAACAAGUGGGAACUGUGCUUUCCCAAAAAGAGUUUCAAGGCCCUUUUUCAUUUUGGUUCUAGGACAGUUUAUAGGUUAUAUUCCAAAUAGUAACUUGAUAUUUAGGCUCACGUUUAGUAACUCAUAUUUGCACUUUUUUUAAUACCAGGGAUUGAACCCAGGGGCACUUAACCACUGAGCCACAUCCUCAGCCCAUUUUUUAAUAUUUUAUUUAGAGGCAGGGUUUAAUUUGCUGGCUUCGAAUUCAUGAUCAUCCUGCCUCAGCCUGAGCAGAG
This 464-nucleotide long non-coding RNA is filed under the name Marmota monax (woodchuck). The record is from RNAcentral. Lineage: Eukaryota; Metazoa; Chordata; Mammalia; Rodentia; Sciuridae.